CGGGGUGUAGCGCAGCUUGGUAGCGCGCGUCGUUCGGGACGACGAGGUCGCAGGUUCAAAUCCUGUCACCCCGACCA
Molecule: transfer RNA, 77 nt
Filed under: Nesterenkonia sp.
Lineage: Bacteria; Bacillati; Actinomycetota; Actinomycetes; Micrococcales; Micrococcaceae
Also listed under: 4 other names
Description: tRNA-Pro
Rfam family: tRNA
About the family: Transfer RNA (tRNA) molecules are approximately 80 nucleotides in length. Their secondary structure includes four short double-helical elements and three loops (D, anti-codon, and T loops).
Source: RNAcentral